GGAGACCCGCUAUCUACAU
This 19-nucleotide non-coding RNA is filed under the name Arabidopsis thaliana (thale cress). The record is from RNAcentral. Lineage: Eukaryota; Viridiplantae; Streptophyta; Magnoliopsida; Brassicales; Brassicaceae.